RNAcentral lists this small RNA (1784 nucleotides) under Pongo abelii (Sumatran orangutan). Its description in RNAcentral is "retained intron". The record is from RNAcentral. Lineage: Eukaryota; Metazoa; Chordata; Mammalia; Primates; Hominidae.
AAAGUGCCGACGGAGCCGGAGACCCGCUCCCAGAGACGCCGCCUCGCGAUCCCCGCGCGGGCGGGACCGGGCGGCCGGCGUCAUGACCCUGUUUCACUUCGGGAACUGCUUCGCUCUUGCCUACUUUCCCUACUUCAUCACCUACAAGUGCAGCGGCCUGUGAGUGCGGGAAGGGCGCGGGGCGGAGAGGGCGCGGAGCCCGGGCCGACCCUCACCUCCUGCUUCUCCAGGUCCGAGUACAACGCCUUCUGGAAAUGCGUCCAGGCUGGAGUCACCUACCUCUUUGUCCAACUCUGCAAGGUGAGGGCCACCGGGACCCCACGUGUUCUGGCCCCCAGGCUCUACAGACCCAGGGACCCGCCCCCGUUGCGUAUCCCACACGCCCCCGCCCCACGGUGGGACCGCCCUCGGGACUCCGUAUUGGGAGGCGUCAGGAUACCUAGAGAGGAUGGACUUUGAAGAGGGCACGACCUGAGAAGAGACCUAGAAGCAACUUUUGCGUAGCACUUAGUAAAACUGAGAAAACCUCAGUAGUGUGGUUGGCUAAGAGGGUUUUUUUUGGUGCGGUUAAGAGUGAUCUCCGAUUCUCUACGUGCUGCUAACACUGCCCAAGGAGCAGCACCUUCAGACCUGACUCAGGUGCCCUGUGAUCACCCAGAACUCAAACUUCCAGCCCCGUCGGGGACCCGGGGACCUAUCCUCUAUCUCCCCGAUUCCUGUAAUUUUGCCACCAUCUGGUGGUUCCUCUUCCAGAUGGGCCCCCAGAACCUGCCCUGCCCUCCUCAUACCCACGAACUUCCCACAAAUCCCACGUGGUUUAUUUUGAUCCCCUCACCUUGAAGUGACCUGUUUCUGCUUUCUGUUCUCAGAUGCUGUUCUUGGCCACUUUCUUUCCCACCUGGGAAGGCGGCAUCUAUGACUUCAUUGGGGUGAGAGGGGCCAGGGAAGGGCAGGGAGUUCAGGAGUGGGGCUCCCUGUCCCUCUGUGCUUACUUAAGCCUCAACCUGACCCGCAGGAGUUCAUGAAGGCCAGCGUGGAUGUGGCAGACCUGAUAGGUCUAAACCUUGUCAUGUCCCGGAAUGCCGGCAAGGGGGAGUACAAGAUCAUGGUUGCUGCCCUGGGCUGGGCCACCGCCGAGCUUAUUAUGUCCCGGUGCGUGCAACAGCCUGGAGCCCAGACCCCUGAGAAGGGACACCUGGGUUCCACGGGGGUGCUGGAGGGCAGGGGCUCAAAGCCUGGUGCUGAAGGUGUCUAGGUACUGGAGAAUCCCAUCCUUUGCCUUCCUCAGCUGCAUUCCCCUAUGGGUCGGAGCCCGGGGCAUUGAGUUUGACUGGAAGUACAUCCAGAUGAGCAUCGACUCCAACAUCAGUCUGGUAGGCAGUCCUGCUCUCCCACAUACACGUUUCUGCUGGCGGCCAUAUUCCUCCCCGAGGCCUGGCCCCGACUUUCUGCCUCCCUCCAGGUCCAUUACAUCGUCGCGUCUGCUCAGGUCUGGAUGAUAACACGCUAUGAUCUGUACCACACCUUCCGGCCAGCUGUCCUCCUGCUGAUGUUCCUCAGUGUCUACAAGGCCUUCGUUAUGGAGACCUUCGUCCACCUCUGCUCCCUAGGCAGUUGGACAGCCCUACUGGCCCGAGCAGUGGUAACGGGGCUGCUGGCCCUCAGCACUUUGGCCCUGUAUGUCGCCGUUGUCAAUGUGCACUCCUAGGCUUGGUGUCUCAGACAUUGAUGUACCUUUUCCCUGCCUCGCUCCAGGUUUUAGUGAAGUAAACAGUAUUUGGAAA